GGCGCCGUAGCCAAGCGGUAAGGCAAGGGUCUGCAAAACCCUCAUGCGUCGGUUCGAAUCCGACCGGUGCCUCCA
This 75-nucleotide transfer RNA is filed under the name Caldisericum exile. RNAcentral describes it as "tRNA-Cys". It matches the Rfam family "tRNA". Rfam says of the family: Transfer RNA (tRNA) molecules are approximately 80 nucleotides in length. Their secondary structure includes four short double-helical elements and three loops (D, anti-codon, and T loops). The record is from RNAcentral. Lineage: Bacteria; Pseudomonadati; Caldisericota; Caldisericia; Caldisericales; Caldisericaceae.